RNAcentral lists this ribosomal RNA (593 nucleotides) under uncultured bacterium. Its description in RNAcentral is "bacterial SSU rRNA". It matches the Rfam family "Bacterial small subunit ribosomal RNA", at positions 335 to 919 of the family's 1533-position model. The record is from RNAcentral.
AUUCCUACGGGAGGCAGCAGUGAGGAAUUUUGCGCAAUGGCCGCAAGGCUGACGCAGCAACGCCGCGUGGGUGAUGAAGGCCUUCGGGUCGUAAAGCCCUGUCAGGUGGGAAGAAAGGCCUGGAGAGGAAAGGUUUCAGGUUUGACGGUACCACCAGAGGAAGCACCGGCUAACUCCGUGCCAGCAGCCGCGGUAAUACGGAGGGUGCGAGCGUUAUUCGGAAUUACUGGGCGUAAAGCGCGUGUAGGCGGGGGGACAAGUCUGAUGUGAAAGCCCUGGGCUUAACCUGGGAAGCGCAUUGGAAACUGUUUUUCUUGAGUACUGGAGAGGAAGGGGGAAUUCCCGGUGUAGAGGUGAAAUUCGUAGAGAUCGGGAGGAAUACCAGUGGCGUAGGCGCCCUUCUGGACGGUAACUGACGCUGAGACGCGAAAGCGUGGGGAGCAAACAGGAUUAGAUACCCUGGUAGUCCACGCUGUAAACGAUGAUCACUAGGUGUAGCGGGUACUCAUUCCUGCUGUGCCGCAGCUAACGCGUUAAGUGAUCCGCCUGGGGAUUACGGUCGCAAGACUAAAACUCAAAUGAAUUGACGGAAU